AUUAGUGGCGAACGGGUGAGUAACACGUGGGCAAUCUGCCCUGCACUCUGGGAUAAGCCUGGGAAACUGGGUCUAAUACCGGAUAUGACUUCUUGCCGCAUGGCGAGAAGUGGAAAAGUUUUUCGGUGCAGGAUGAGCCCGCGGCCUAUCAGCUAGUUGGUGGGGUAAUGGCCCACCAAGGCGACGACGGGUAGCCGGCCUGAGAGGGUGAUCGGCCACACUGGGACUGAGACACGGCCCAG
Molecule: ribosomal RNA, 242 nt
Filed under: uncultured bacterium
Lineage: Bacteria
Description: partial 16S ribosomal RNA
Rfam family: Bacterial small subunit ribosomal RNA
Source: RNAcentral